Molecule: ribosomal RNA, 468 nt
Filed under: uncultured bacterium
Lineage: Bacteria
Description: partial 16S ribosomal RNA
Rfam family: Bacterial small subunit ribosomal RNA
Source: RNAcentral
GACGAACGCUGGCGGCGUGCUUAACACAUGCAAGUCGAACGGAAAGGCCCUGCUUUUGUGGGGUGCUCGAGUGGCGAACGGGUGAGUAACACGUGAGUAACCUGCCCUUGACUUUGGGAUAACUUCAGGAAACUGGGGCUAAUACCGGAUAGGAGCUCCUGCUGCAUGGUGGGGGUUGGAAAGUUUCGGCGGUUGGGGAUGGACUCGCGGCUUAUCAGCUUGUUGGUGGGGUAGUGGCUUACCAAGGCUUUGACGGGUAGCCGGCCUGAGAGGGUGACCGGCCACAUUGGGACUGAGAUACGGCCCAGACUCCUACGGGAGGCAGCAGUGGGGAAUAUUGCACAAUGGGCGGAAGCCUGAUGCAGCAACGCCGCGUGUGGGAUGACGGCCUUCGGGUUGUAAACCGCUUUCGCCUAUGACGAAGCGUGAGUGACGGUAAUGGGUAAAGAGGCACCGGCUAACUACGUG